Vicia faba (fava bean) is the source of this 312-nucleotide non-coding RNA. NCBI's taxonomy places the organism in Eukaryota, Viridiplantae, Streptophyta, Magnoliopsida, Fabales, Fabaceae. The record is from the annotation of a GenBank genome assembly.
UUUAAUUGUUACAAUUUGCAAAUACUUUAUCGAAAGAGAUUUCAAAAUUUUCUCAAGUUUCAUUAAUCAAAGAACAUUUCAUGUUACAAUUCAAGUCAUUCCUCAUCAUUAAAAGUUGUUCUAAACUUGAAUACAAUUAUUUCAAAUCUACAAGUUUCACAAAGUUUUCUACAAGAGGUUCAAAUGCCACAUUCAUCCAAUUUUACAUGUUUCCAUACAAGGCUUACAAAGAAAAUUUUAAUGUUUCAAAGUUUGUUUACAAAACUCUUUUCAACACAAUCAAAUUCAAAGUUACAUCAUGGUUGCCAUUAA